Molecule: small RNA, 468 nt
Filed under: Pan troglodytes (chimpanzee)
Lineage: Eukaryota; Metazoa; Chordata; Mammalia; Primates; Hominidae
Description: processed transcript
Source: RNAcentral
GAUCCCACUGUUGACAAGGAGGUUGAGAUCAGGAAAAAAGUGCUAAAGAUAUACAAUAAAAGGGAAGAAGAUUUUCCUAGUCUAAGAGAAUACAAUGACUUCUUGGAAGAAGUGGAAGAAAUUGUUUUCAACUUGACCAACAAUGUGGAUUUGGACAACACCAAAAAGAAAAUGGAGAUAUACCAAAAGGAAAACAAAGAUGUUAUUCAGAAAAAUAAAUUAAAGCUGACUCGAGAACAGGAAGAACUGGAAGAAGCUUUAGAAGUGGAACGACAGGAAAAUGAACAAAGAAGAUUAUUUAUACAAAAAGAAGAACAACUGCAGCAGAUUCUAAAAAGGAAGAAUAAGCAGGCUUUUUUAGAUGAGCUGCAUAAAGAUAGAUCUACCCAAUUAGAAAUGCAACUUGAGAAACCCAAACCUGUAAAACCAGUGACGUUUUCCACAGGCAUCAAAAUGGUAAGCUUAUUU